UACAGGGGGGGCAAGCGUUGUUCGGAAUUACUGGGCGUAAAGGGUUUGUAGGUGGCUUGUUAAGUCAGACGUGAAAUCCCUCAGCUUAACUGGGGAACUGCGUCUGAUACUGGUGAGCUUGAGUGCAGGAGAGGAACGCGGAAUUCCAGGUGUAGCGGUGAAAUGCGUAGAGAUCGGGAGGAACACCCGUAGCGAAGGCGGCCGACUGGACCACACCUGACGCUGAGGCGCGAAGGCCAGGGGAGCGAACGGG
This 253-nucleotide ribosomal RNA is filed under the name uncultured bacterium. RNAcentral describes it as "partial 16S ribosomal RNA". It matches the Rfam family "Bacterial small subunit ribosomal RNA", at positions 524 to 776 of the family's 1533-position model. The record is from RNAcentral.